Molecule: ribosomal RNA, 253 nt
Filed under: uncultured bacterium
Lineage: Bacteria
Description: partial 16S ribosomal RNA
Rfam family: Bacterial small subunit ribosomal RNA
Source: RNAcentral
UACGGAGGAUCCAAGCGUUAUCCGGAAUCAUUGGGUUUAAAGGGUCCGUAGGCGGUUUGGUAAGUCAGUGGUGAAAGCCCUUCGCUCAACGGAGGAACGGCCAUUGAUACUGCCAGACUUGAAUUACUGGGAGGUAACUAGAAUAUGUAGUGUAGCGGUGAAAUGCUUAGAUAUUACAUAGAAUACCAAUUGCGAAGGCAGGUUACUACCGGUGGAUUGACGCUGAUGGACGAAAGCGUGGGGAGCGAACAGG